Molecule: ribosomal RNA, 216 nt
Filed under: Glomeromycotina sp.
Lineage: Eukaryota; Fungi; Glomeromycota
Description: partial small subunit ribosomal RNA
Rfam family: Eukaryotic small subunit ribosomal RNA (bases 40-216)
Source: RNAcentral
GGGUCAGUAGGUUGGUCGUGCCACCGGUACGUACUGGUCUCACUGAUUCCUCCUUCCUGAAGAACCGUAAUGCCAUUAAUUUGGUGUGGCGGGGAAACAGGACUGUUACUUUGAAAAAAUUAGAGUGUUUAAAGCAAGCUAACGCUUGAAUACAUUAGCAUGGAAGAAUGAAAUAGGACGAUCGAUCCUAUUUUGUUGGUUUCUAGGAUUGACGUA